CGACAUCCCCGGCCGCGCUGCCCCGAAUACUCGGCGCGGGUGCCCGGGCCCCGUCGCGCUGGCUGGGCUUCCUCGGGAAGGCGAUCCCCGGACCUGCUCGGCCGAGCCGCAGGACGCUUGGAAGCGCGACGGCCCCUGUGAUCCUCGAGUCCGAGGACGGCCCCGGUCUUUCCUGGGGCUGCUGGGCUCCCGGCUCCCCACCGCGGUGUCACAGAAGGCACUUGGGAGCAGGGGUGGGCGGGAACUGCGCUCUGCCUGUCUCUGCUGCCACCGGUGGGAGACGCAGCGUCGCUCCUCCUCCCUGCCGUAGAUUUCAACGACAAGAUUCUGAAUGAGCCCCUCAAGCACUCUGACUUCUUCAAUGUCAAGGAACUGUUUUCCGUGAGAAGCCUCUUCGAUGCCCGAGUGCAUCUGGGACACAAAGCUGGCUGUCGGCACAGGUUUAUGGAGCCGUACAUCUUUGGGAGCCGCCUGGACCACGACAUCAUCGACCUGGAACAGACAGCCGUGCACCUCCAGCUGGCCUUGAACUUCACCGCCCACAUGGCCUACCGCAAGGGCAUCAUCUUGUUUAUAAGCCGCAACCGGCAGUUCUCAUACCUGAUUGAGAACACGGCCCGUGACUGUGGCGAGUACGCCCACACUCGCUACUUCAAGGGCGGCAUGCUGACCAACGCGCGCCUCCUCUUUGGCCCCACGGUCCGCCUGCCGGACCUCAUCAUCUUCCUGCACACGCUCAACAACAUCUUUGAGCCACACGUGGCCGUGAGAGACGCAGCCAAGAUGAACAUCCCCACAGUGGGCAUCGUGGACACCAACUGCAACCCCUGCCUAAUCACCUACCCUGUACCCGG
Molecule: small RNA, 854 nt
Filed under: Pongo abelii (Sumatran orangutan)
Lineage: Eukaryota; Metazoa; Chordata; Mammalia; Primates; Hominidae
Description: processed transcript
Source: RNAcentral